GGAAACAUAGUUCAAUGGCAGAACGGCUGCUUGUUAAGCAGAGGGUUGAAUGUUCGAAUCAUUCUGUUUCCG
RNAcentral lists this transfer RNA (72 nucleotides) under Ferruginibacter sp. Its description in RNAcentral is "tRNA-Asn". It matches the Rfam family "tRNA". From Rfam's summary of the family: Transfer RNA (tRNA) molecules are approximately 80 nucleotides in length. Lineage: Bacteria; Pseudomonadati; Bacteroidota; Chitinophagia; Chitinophagales; Chitinophagaceae. The record is from RNAcentral.